UGGGGAAUUUUGGACAAUGGGCGAAAGCCUGAUCCAGCAAUGCCGCGUGUGUGAAGAAGGCCUUCGGGUUGUAAAGCACUUUUGUCCGGAAAGAAAUCCUCUGGGUUAAUACCUCGGGGGGAUGACGGUACCGGAAGAAUAAGCACCGGCUAACUACGUGCCAGCAGCCGCGGUAAUACGUAGGGUGCAAGCGUUAAUCGGAAUUACUGGGCGUAAAGCGUGCGCAGGCGGUUUUGUAAGACGGAUGUGAAAUCCCCGGGCUUAACCUGGGAACUGCAUUCGUGACUGCAAGGCUAGAGUAUGGCAGAGGGGGGUAGAAUUCCACGUGUAGCAGUGAAAUGCGUAGAGAUGUGGAGGAAUACCGAUGGCGAAGGCAGCCCCCUGGGCCAAUACUGACGCUCAUGCACGAAAGCGUGGGGAGCAAACAGGAUUAGAUACCCUGGUAGUCCACGCCCUAAACGAUGUCAACUAGUUGUUGGGGAUUCAUUUCCUUAGUAACGUAGCUAACGCGUGGAAGUUGACCGCCUGGGGAGUACGGUCGCAAGAUUAAACUCAAAGGAAUUGACGGGGUCAUAGCUGUUUCC
This 584-nucleotide ribosomal RNA is filed under the name uncultured bacterium. RNAcentral's name for it is "partial 16S ribosomal RNA". It matches the Rfam family "Bacterial small subunit ribosomal RNA", at positions 355 to 937 of the family's 1533-position model. The record is from RNAcentral.